Molecule: transfer RNA, 62 nt
Filed under: Torleya nepalica
Lineage: Eukaryota; Metazoa; Arthropoda; Insecta; Ephemeroptera; Ephemerellidae
Description: tRNA-Glu
Rfam family: tRNA
About the family: Transfer RNA (tRNA) molecules are approximately 80 nucleotides in length. Their secondary structure includes four short double-helical elements and three loops (D, anti-codon, and T loops).
Source: RNAcentral
GUUCAUGUAGUUUAUUAAAACAUUACAUUUUCACUGUAAAAAUAGGCUCUGCCUCAUAAAUA